GAUCAUGGCUCAGGAUGAACGCUAGCUACAGGCUUAACACAUGCAAGUCGAGGGGAAACGGGCAUCGAAAGCUUGCUUUUGAUGGGCGUCGACCGGCGCACGGGUGAGUAACGCGUAUCCAACCUGCCUACCACUUGGGGGAUAACCUUGCGAAAAGGUAAGACUAAUACCCAAUGACAUCCCACGAAGACAUCUGAAUGGGAUUAAAGAUUUAUCGGUGAUGGAUGGGGAUGCGUCUGAUUAG
RNAcentral lists this ribosomal RNA (244 nucleotides) under uncultured bacterium. Its description in RNAcentral is "partial 16S ribosomal RNA". It matches the Rfam family "Bacterial small subunit ribosomal RNA", at positions 15 to 244 of the family's 1533-position model. The record is from RNAcentral.